Molecule: ribosomal RNA, 433 nt
Filed under: uncultured bacterium
Lineage: Bacteria
Description: partial 16S ribosomal RNA
Rfam family: Bacterial small subunit ribosomal RNA
Source: RNAcentral
AACGAACGCUGGCGGCAUGCCUAACACAUGCAAGUCGAACGAGACCUUCGGGUCUAGUGGCGCACGGGUGCGUAACGCGUGGGAACCUGCCCUUAGGUUCGGAAUAACUCCCCGAAAGGGGUGCUAAUACCGGAUAAUGUCUUCGGACCAAAGAUUUAUCGCCUUUGGAUGGGCCCGCGUUGGAUUAGCUAGUUGGUAGGGUAAAAGACUACCAAGGCGACGAUCCAUAGCUGGUCUGAGAGGAUGAUCAGCCACACUGGGACUGAGACACGGCCCAGACUCCUACGGGAGGCAGCAGUGAGGAAUAUUGGACAAUGGGCGAAAGCCUGAUCCAGCAAUGCCGCGUGAGUGAUGAAGGCCUUAGGGUUGUAAAGCUCUUUUACCCGGGAUGAUAAUGACAGUACCGGGAGAAUAAGCUCCGGCUAACUCCGUG